UGGCUCAGGACCGAACGCUGGCGGCGUGCUUAACACAUGCAAGUCGAACGAAGCUCCUUAUCUGAUCUUCUUCGGAAUUGAAGAUUUGUAGACUGAGUGGCGGACGGGUGAGUAACGCGUGGGUAACCUGCCCUGUACAGGGGGAUAACAGUCAGAAAUGACUGCUAAUACCGCAUAAGACCACAGCACCGCAUGGUGCAGGGGUAAAAACUCCGGUGGUACAGGAUGGACCCGCGUCUGAUUAGCUGGUUGGUGAGGUAACGGCUCACCAAGGCGACGAUCAGUAGCCGGCUGAGAGAGUAACGGCC
RNAcentral lists this ribosomal RNA (308 nucleotides) under Clostridium sp. SC102. Its description in RNAcentral is "bacterial SSU rRNA". It matches the Rfam family "Bacterial small subunit ribosomal RNA", at positions 20 to 309 of the family's 1533-position model. The record is from RNAcentral. Lineage: Bacteria; Bacillati; Bacillota; Clostridia; Eubacteriales; Clostridiaceae.